GAUGAACGCUGGCGGCGUGCCUAAUACAUGCAAGUCGAGCGAACGGACGAGAAGCUUGCUUCUCUGAUGUUAGCGGCGGACGGGUGAGUAACACGUGGAUAACCUACCUAUAAGACUGGGAUAACUUCGGGAAACCGUAGCUAAUACCGGAUAAUAUUUUGAACCGCAUGGUUCAAAAGUGAAAGACGGUCUUGCUGUCACUUAUAGAUGGAUCCGCGCUGCAUUAGCUAGUUGGUAAGGUAACGGCUUACCAAGGCAACGAUGCAUAGCCGACCUGAGAGGGUGAUCGGCCACACUGGAACUGAGACACGGUCCAGACUCCUACGGGAGGCAGCAGUAGGGAAUCUUCCGAAAUGGGCGAAAGCCUGACGGAGCAACGCCGCGUGAGUGAUGAAGGUCUUCGGAUCGUAAAACUCUGUUAUAGGGAAGAACAUAUGUGUAAGUAACUGUGCACAUCUUGACGGUACCUAAUCAGAAAGCCACGGCUAACUACGUG
This 496-nucleotide ribosomal RNA is filed under the name uncultured bacterium. Its description in RNAcentral is "partial 16S ribosomal RNA". It matches the Rfam family "Bacterial small subunit ribosomal RNA", at positions 28 to 507 of the family's 1533-position model. The record is from RNAcentral.